RNAcentral lists this ribosomal RNA (331 nucleotides) under uncultured eukaryote. RNAcentral's name for it is "partial 18S ribosomal RNA". It matches the Rfam family "Eukaryotic small subunit ribosomal RNA", at positions 1470 to 1796 of the family's 1831-position model. The record is from RNAcentral.
CCCUUAGAUGUUCUGGGCCGCACGCGCGCUACACUGUUCGACGCAGCGAGUCUUAACCUUGACCGAAAGGUUUGGGUAAUCUUCAGCAAUGUCGAACGUGAUGGGGAUCGAUCAUUGCAAUUAUUGAUCGUGAACGAGGAAUUCCUAGUAAGUGCAAGUCAUCAGCUUGCGCUGAUUACGUCCCUGCCCUUUGUACACACCGCCCGUCGCUACUACCGAUUGAAUGGUUUAGUGAGAUCUCUGGAUUGACGCUGGCUAGGGGGCGACCCUUGGCCAGACUGUUGAGAAACUGCUCAAACUUGAUCAUUUAGAGGAAGUAAAAGUCGUAACA